RNAcentral lists this ribosomal RNA (859 nucleotides) under Priestia aryabhattai. Its description in RNAcentral is "bacterial SSU rRNA". It matches the Rfam family "Bacterial small subunit ribosomal RNA", at positions 63 to 901 of the family's 1533-position model. Lineage: Bacteria; Bacillati; Bacillota; Bacilli; Caryophanales; Bacillaceae. The record is from RNAcentral.
CGAGCGAACUGAUUAGAAGCUUGCUUCUAUGACGUUAGCGGCGGACGGGUGAGUAACACGUGGGCAACCUGCCUGUAAGACUGGGAUAACUUCGGGAAACCGAAGCUAAUACCGGAUAGGAUCUUCUCCUUCAUGGGAGAUGAUUGAAAGAUGGUUUCGGCUAUCACUUACAGAUGGGCCCGCGGUGCAUUAGCUAGUUGGUGAGGUAACGGCUCACCAAGGCAACGAUGCAUAGCCGACCUGAGAGGGUGAUCGGCCACACUGGGACUGAGACACGGCCCAGACUCCUACGGGAGGCAGCAGUAGGGAAUCUUCCGCAAUGGACGAAAGUCUGACGGAGCAACGCCGCGUGAGUGAUGAAGGCUUUCGGGUCGUAAAACUCUGUUGUUAGGGAAGAACAAGUACGAGAGUAACUGCUCGUACCUUGACGGUACCUAACCAGAAAGCCACGGCUAACUACGUGCCAGCAGCCGCGGUAAUACGUAGGUGGCAAGCGUUAUCCGGAAUUAUUGGGCGUAAAGCGCGCGCAGGCGGUUUCUUAAGUCUGAUGUGAAAGCCCACGGCUCAACCGUGGAGGGUCAUUGGAAACUGGGGAACUUGAGUGCAGAAGAGAAAAGCGGAAUUCCACGUGUAGCGGUGAAAUGCGUAGAGAUGUGGAGGAACACCAGUGGCGAAGGCGGCUUUUUGGUCUGUAACUGACGCUGAGGCGCGAAAGCGUGGGGGAGCAAACAGGAUUAGAUACCCUGGUAGUCCACGCCGUAAACGAUGAGUGCUAAGUGUUAGAGGGUUUCCGCCCUUUAGUGCUGCAGCUAACGCAUUAAGCACUCCGCCUGGGGAGUACGGUCGCAAGACUGAAACU